Molecule: non-coding RNA, 216 nt
Organism: Pelobates cultripes (western spadefoot toad)
Lineage: Eukaryota; Metazoa; Chordata; Amphibia; Anura; Pelobatidae
Source: the annotation of a GenBank genome assembly
GCUGGGAAAAGGUAAGUAAAUAGUGUUUUCAACCUUUUAUUUACUGGUGAGGGAGGCAGGGGGAAUGGUAGUGCCAGGAAUACAGCAUCCCUUUAAUGCUGCUCUCUGCCUCCACUGCUUCCGACAGAGAGCCAAAAGCUCUCUGUCUGAGCUAUGCCUGGUGGUGCAGAGAGUAGCUCAUUGGCUGAUUUGGAGUGUGUCUUUACUUUAGCAUGG